Molecule: ribosomal RNA, 2774 nt
Filed under: Escherichia coli
Lineage: Bacteria; Pseudomonadati; Pseudomonadota; Gammaproteobacteria; Enterobacterales; Enterobacteriaceae
Description: bacterial LSU rRNA
Rfam family: Bacterial large subunit ribosomal RNA
Source: RNAcentral
AGCGUACACGGUGGAUGCCCUGGCAGUCAGAGGCGAUGAAGGACGUGCUAAUCUGCGAUAAGCGUCGGUGAGGUGAUAUGAACCGUUAUAACCGGCGAUUUCCGAAUGGGGAAACCCAGUGUGUUUCGACACACUAUCAUUAACUGAAUCCAUAGGUUAAUGAGGCGAACCGGGGGAACUGAAACAUCUAAGUACCCCGAGGAAAAGAAAUCAACCGAGAUUCCCCCAGUAGCGGCGAGCGAACGGGGAGGAGCCCAGAGCCUGAAUCAGUGUGUGUGUUAGUGGAAGCGUCUGGAAAGGCGCGCGAUACAGGGUGACAGCCCCGUACACAAAAAUGCACAUACUGUGAGCUCGAUGAGUAGGGCGGGACACGUGGUAUCCUGUCUGAAUAUGGGGGGACCAUCCUCCAAGGCUAAAUACUCCUGACUGACCGAUAGUGAACCAGUACCGUGAGGGAAAGGCGAAAAGAACCCCGGCGAGGGGAGUGAAAAAGAACCUGAAACCGUGUACGUACAAGCAGUGGGAGCCUCUUAAUGGGGUGACUGCGUACCUUUUGUAUAAUGGGUCAGCGACUUAUAUUCUGUAGCAAGGUUAACCGAAUAGGGGAGCCGAAGGGAAACCGAGUCUUAACUGGGCGUUAAGUUGCAGGGUAUAGACCCGAAACCCGGUGAUCUAGCCAUGGGCAGGUUGAAGGUUGGGUAACACUAACUGGAGGACCGAACCGACUAAUGUUGAAAAAUUAGCGGAUGACUUGUGGCUGGGGGUGAAAGGCCAAUCAAACCGGGAGAUAGCUGGUUCUCCCCGAAAGCUAUUUAGGUAGCGCCUCGUGAAUUCAUCUCCGGGGGUAGAGCACUGUUUCGGCAAGGGGGUCAUCCCGACUUACCAACCCGAUGCAAACUGCGAAUACCGGAGAAUGUUAUCACGGGAGACACACGGCGGGUGCUAACGUCCGUCGUGAAGAGGGAAACAACCCAGACCGCCAGCUAAGGUCCCAAAGUCAUGGUUAAGUGGGAAACGAUGUGGGAAGGCCCAGACAGCCAGGAUGUUGGCUUAGAAGCAGCCAUCAUUUAAAGAAAGCGUAAUAGCUCACUGGUCGAGUCGGCCUGCGCGGAAGAUGUAACGGGGCUAAACCAUGCACCGAAGCUGCGGCAGCGACGCUUAUGCGUUGUUGGGUAGGGGAGCGUUCUGUAAGCCUGUGAAGGUGGCCUGUGAGGGUUGCUGGAGGUAUCAGAAGUGCGAAUGCUGACAUAAGUAACGAUAAAGCGGGUGAAAAGCCCGCUCGCCGGAAGACCAAGGGUUCCUGUCCAACGUUAAUCGGGGCAGGGUGAGUCGACCCCUAAGGCGAGGCCGAAAGGCGUAGUCGAUGGGAAACAGGUUAAUAUUCCUGUACUUGGUGUUACUGCGAAGGGGGGACGGAGAAGGCUAUGUUGGCCGGGCGACGGUUGUCCCGGUUUAAGCGUGUAGGCUGGUUUUCCAGGCAAAUCCGGAAAACCAAGGCUGAGGCGUGAUGACGAGGCACUACGGUGCUGAAGCGACAAAUGCCCUGCUUCCAGGAAAAGCCUCUAAGCAUCAGGUAACAUUAAAUCGUACCCCAAACCGACACAGGUGGUCAGGUAGAGAAUACCAAGGCGCUUGAGAGAACUCGGGUGAAGGAACUAGGCAAAAUGGUGCCGUAACUUCGGGAGAAGGCACGCUGAUAUGUAGGUGAAGCGACUUGCUCGUGGAGCUGAAAUCAGUCGAAGAUACCAGCUGGCUGCAACUGUUUAUUAAAAACACAGCACUGUGCAAACACGAAAGUGGACGUAUACGGUGUGACGCCUGCCCGGUGCCGGAAGGUUAAUUGAUGGGGUUAGCGGCAACGCGAAGCUCUUGAUCGAAGCCCCGGUAAACGGCGGCCGUAACUAUAACGGUCCUAAGGUAGCGAAAUUCCUUGUCGGGUAAGUUCCGACCUGCACGAAUGGCGUAAUGAUGGCCAGGCUGUCUCCACCCGAGACUCAGUGAAAUUGAACUCGCUGUGAAGAUGCAGUGUACCCGCGGCAAGACGGAAAGACCCCGUGAACCUUUACUAUAGCUUGACACUGAACAUUGAGCCUUGAUGUGUAGGAUAGGUGGGAGGCUUUGAAGUGUGGACGCCAGUCUGCAUGGAGCCGACCUUGAAAUACCACCCUUUAAUGUUUGAUGUUCUAACGUGGGCCCGUAAUCCGGGUUGCGGACAGUGUCUGGUGGGUAGUUUGACUGGGGCGGUCUCCUCCUAAAGAGUAACGGAGGAGCACGAAGGUUGGCUAAUCCUGGUCGGACAUCAGGAGGUUAGUGCAAUGGCAUAAGCCAGCUUGACUGCGAGCGUGACGGCGCGAGCAGGUGCGAAAGCAGGUCAUAGUGAUCCGGUGGUUCUGAAUGGAAGGGCCAUCGCUCAACGGAUAAAAGGUACUCCGGGGAUAACAGGCUGAUACCGCCCAAGAGUUCAUAUCGACGGCGGUGUUUGGCACCUCGAUGUCGGCUCAUCACAUCCUGGGGCUGAAGUAGGUCCCAAGGGUAUGGCUGUUCGCCAUUUAAAGUGGUACGCGAGCUGGGUUUAGAACGUCGUGAGACAGUUCGGUCCCUAUCUGCCGUGGGCGCUGGAGAACUGAGGGGGGCUGCUCCUAGUACGAGAGGACCGGAGUGGACGCAUCACUGGUGUUCGGGUUGUCAUGCCAAUGGCACUGCCCGGUAGCUAAAUGCGGAAGAGAUAAGUGCUGAAAGCAUCUAAGCACGAAACUUGCCCCGAGAUGAGUUCU